GGGCCUGUAGUGUAGCUUGGAUAUCACUGGGGCUUCCGAAGCCUCAAACUGGGGUUCGAAUCCCCACAGGCCCG
This 74-nucleotide transfer RNA is filed under the name Methanomassiliicoccales archaeon. RNAcentral describes it as "tRNA-Arg". It matches the Rfam family "tRNA". From Rfam's summary of the family: Transfer RNA (tRNA) molecules are approximately 80 nucleotides in length. Lineage: Archaea; Methanobacteriati; Thermoplasmatota; Thermoplasmata; Methanomassiliicoccales. The record is from RNAcentral.